GUUUUAAUAAUUUAAAUAAAAUAUUGGUCUUGUAAACCAAAAAUAAGGGUAUCUUUUAAAACU
RNAcentral lists this transfer RNA (63 nucleotides) under Dryops ernesti. RNAcentral's name for it is "tRNA-Thr". It matches the Rfam family "tRNA". From Rfam's summary of the family: Transfer RNA (tRNA) molecules are approximately 80 nucleotides in length. Their secondary structure includes four short double-helical elements and three loops (D, anti-codon, and T loops). Further hydrogen bonds mediate the characteristic L-shaped molecular structure. tRNAs have two regions of fundamental functional importance: the anti-codon, which is responsible for specific mRNA codon recognition, and the 3' end, to which the tRNAs corresponding amino acid is attached (by aminoacyl-tRNA synthetases). tRNAs cope with the degeneracy of the genetic code in two manners: having more than one tRNA (with a specific anti-codon) for a particular amino acid; and 'wobble' base-pairing, i.e. permitting non-standard base-pairing at the 3rd anti-codon position. Lineage: Eukaryota; Metazoa; Arthropoda; Insecta; Coleoptera; Dryopidae. The record is from RNAcentral.